AAGCUCGUAGUUGAAUUUCGGGGUUAGUAGGUUGGUCAUGCCUCUGGUAUGUACUGGUCUCACUGAUUCCUCCUUCCUUAUGAACCGUAAUGCCAUUAAUUUGGUGUUGCGGGGAAUUUGGACUGUUACUUUGAAAAAAUUAGAGUGUUUAAAGCAAGCUAACGCUUGAAUACAUUAGCAUGGAAUAAUGAAAUAGGACGUUCGACUCUUAUUUGUUGUUCGUAGUAUGAGUAUGUAUAGUAGGAUAGUGG
Molecule: ribosomal RNA, 251 nt
Filed under: uncultured Glomus
Lineage: Eukaryota; Fungi; Glomeromycota; Glomeromycetes; Glomerales; Glomeraceae
Description: partial 18S ribosomal RNA
Rfam family: Eukaryotic small subunit ribosomal RNA
Source: RNAcentral